CUAGGUAAUACAUCGAUCCGACCUGUCAAUCAAACUAAUCAUUAUUGACCAAUGAGAAAGCUGCAAAUUAUUCACCGAGUCCCGUCCGCCAUCUUUACCCACAAACACAGCAGCGAUAACUGUUUACAACCGGACAUUUUAUUGAAGUUUUAAGACUGAUUUGUGAAAAUGGUUAAACGAUGCGGAUGGGGAAUAUGUUAUGCAGAUUAAGGUAUCCGGAGGGACUAAAUGGAGGCCGAUUUAAACGAUUUCCGACCUAUAAUUUAAUAUAAUCCGAUAUUGAGAAGUGCAAAUGCUGGAUUAAAGCCUGUGGACGGCCACAAGAGAAACUGAAUGUCAACAGGAUAAACAAGCACGAAGAUGUCUGCUCGAAGCACUUUCAUGGAGGAAAUGGACCAUCUUAAGAGUAUCCUGACCCACCAUCAGCUGAUGGCUGGAGAAUAACAUCUUCAAGAAAACUCCCCACAAAGCGGUCACUUGGAAAGGAAACUUAUGGCAGCAUUUAUACACAAAAUGCAAGUGUGCAUUUUAUACAAGAUAUCACAUGCCUGGGCGUUAGAGUUUUAUUUAUCUUUAUGGAGUGCACGGAAGACUUGAAUAACAUGUACCAUGUAGGAUAAAUUGCAAAACUGAGACUGUAUUAUUUUGUAGACUUCUACUCAUUUUUAAAAUGCCACUGUUCCUUUUUCAAUACAAAACAACAGCAUUAUAGUUACAUAUAUUUUAAUACAAGUAUUUUGUAUGUUACAGAAAAUAACACUCAAAAGAACUGAAGAAAACAUUAUUACACGGAAAUUACACAGUUUUUUUGUGUGUAAAUUUGCAUAUAAAUAUAUCAACAUAACAACAAUUUCCUGCAGGAUCCUGCAGACACUGUACCAGGAGUAGAAACACAGACCGAAUGUCCAUGGACGUCACCUUUGGAUGUUUGCACUUUAUACCGCUCAAAAUGCUUCCCUAAAAGAACAGUUGUCACAAAAAGAAGUCCAAGUUGAAGAAUAACAGUCUGCACUUUCAUCAAAGUGUUGUGAAAUUCAGAUUUUAAAGCAACUGGUGGGAAUUUAAACAAACUGUAAAUGUCGAUAUAGUUCUGCUCAAAGAAUCAAUAGUUAAAAUUUGUUUAAAUAUUAUACAGGAAUCAUAUGAUUUUAUUUCUGCUUCUUUGAUAUAAUUGAAUAACUGUUAGUUUAUUCAUGUUUGGAAUAAAGCAUUGUAAAGUGAA
Long non-coding RNA from Mya arenaria, 1222 nucleotides. RefSeq lists it as uncharacterized. The transcript is spliced from 3 exons. Lineage: Eukaryota; Metazoa; Mollusca; Bivalvia; Myida; Myidae. The record is from RefSeq and is a predicted model, not a curated record.